AUUGCUUCUUGGCCUUUUGGCUAAGAUCAAGUGUAAAAAAUUCCAAUCUACAUUUAUAUUUACACUACUUUAUUAACAGAGAUUAGCACCUAACAGCUAGCUUCCUGAUCCUGAUUCAGUACGGAAGGAAACAGUGAAAAUUGUCAAACCAU
Molecule: small nuclear RNA, 152 nt
Filed under: Canis lupus familiaris (dog)
Lineage: Eukaryota; Metazoa; Chordata; Mammalia; Carnivora; Canidae
Description: U2 spliceosomal RNA (ENSCAFG00000041478.2, ENSCAFG00030006032.1, ENSCAFG00845020676.1)
Rfam family: U2 spliceosomal RNA
About the family: U2 is a small nuclear RNA (snRNA) component of the spliceosome (involved in pre-mRNA splicing). Complementary binding between U2 snRNA (in an area lying towards the 5' end but 3' to hairpin I) and the branchpoint sequence (BPS) of the intron results the bulging out of an unpaired adenosine, on the BPS, which initiates a nucleophilic attack at the intronic 5' splice site, thus starting the first of two transesterification reactions that mediate splicing.
Source: RNAcentral